UGCGGUGUCUUAGACUCUUUAUCUCUAUCAAUUAUUAGAAAUUAUGAGGUUAAAUUACAUAUAUAUAUAUAUCCAUAUUAAUAUGUUAUAUAUGCCUUGUGCACAACAAAUAACAAAAUUUUUUAACGCAAAGAACAUUCCGAAAAUUCAACGUCGUUAAUUUUCACUUUAAUUUAUUCAACGUUAUAAGCUUUUUUAUAUUGUUUUAUUAAGUUAUACCCGAAACUCGCCUAACUCGUCGAAAAUACGUGGUACGAACCUGAUACGAAAGCCACAGUAUGUGUAAGCAUAGCUUUUGUACAUAAGAUUGAAAAAUAUUGUAUUGAACUAUUUAAUUGUAUUGUUACACGAACCUUUAAUAAAUAUAAAUAUUAUUGUCUUCUACGUACUUUGUGGUGAUCGUCGAGUAAAGAUAGAAAAGGAUCGUAGGUGUAAAAAAAAGGACAGCUUUUUUUUUUUUUUUUUCUUUUUUUUUUCCUUUUUGUAUAUAGAUUUUAUUGAUGAUUUGUUAAUAUCCGUUGAUAAAGUUAUUUAUGUACAAAAUAACGCUGGAAUAUCCCUAUAUAAUAUUAUAUUUAAUGAUCUACGUUUUAUGGCCCAGGGGUCUCGAGAAAGCCCACACCAUUAUAUACCCGCUCGAGCUUCUUCGCAUUUUUACGAGCCACGACUACGCAUUUCCGCCUUUAUAUAUAUAUAUAUAUAUAUAUAUAUUUCUUCGCGUUGAAAUACGGAGCGCCGCUAUUGUUUUAUUUGUUUAUUUAUUCAAUAUUUUUUUUCUUUCUUUUUUCUUUUUGUUUUUUUUUGCGCGAUCGCAUUUCACAUCGCCUUCUUUUCCCGUUCUCGCUCGCACUAUAUACAAAUCUCUCGAUCGGUCAUUUUUAUUUUUAUUUUUUUGCUUUUGUUACUGAAUUUUUUUUUUCUUUUUUCUUUUUUUUUUCUUUUUUCUUUGUUCCAGAGCGUCGCAGGGACAGGAGGGAGAGAGGAAAGUUUGGAAAGGGGCAUAGUGCUAAUAUAAUAUUGAAGAAGAACGCGGAUCAUUUUCCUACGACAUACAUUCGCAUAUAUAUAUAUAUAUAUAUUGUAUAUAUACAUACGUACAUACGUAAGUACAUAUAUAUAUAUAUAUAUAUAUAAAGUUUGAAAAGUAAGGCCGAGGAAGUGUGAUUACGCUCUUUCUUAAUUAAUUAAUUAUAGUACACGCGCAUCUUUUUUUUUCCUUUUUGUUAUUUAUUAUAUAUACGAUUCCUAUGGUUCUUCUUAUAUUUUUUUUUUCUUUCUUUCUUAAUAAAGAUCCAAUAAGAUAAGGGAGAAAAUCGAGUAUAGGCAGACGUAUGAUCUCUUAUAGGUCAUUACCUCGAUAUACAUAAUAUAUUUACAUACGGAUUAGUUGUUGAUUGGCUCGUCGGCUCGUCUAGUUUUGUCGCGCCUACGAGAAAACGCACUGACGUUGGCAUACAUUAUUAAUCAAUGUCCAUUUGAAAUAGACAACUCGAUUCGUGGAAAAAUUUACACAUGAAAUGAAUAAAUAAAAUCGUCUGUGGUCCGACGUUUAUCGUGGAAUAUCAUUAUCGACGUAAUAUUUUAUUAUUUACUUGGUUAUUUUUUUCGCGUGAAAGAGAAAAAAAAAUUCCCCCAAAAAAAAAACAAAAACAAAAAAAAAGAAGAAAAAAUAUUGGGAGUAAUUUUCCCUCCAUCCUACCAUCAAUCACGACGUUAAUUCAAACACGACCAUUAACGAGAAAUAUUAUAUUUCGUUUUGGAGCAUUACGAUAAAGAUUUUGAAACAUCGUAACAUAUUUUUUUUUAAUCGAUUAAUGCAAACGUUAUAACAAUGUAUGUGAUGAACAUACGCGUAUGCGUAAGAAAGUAUUUACAUACGUAACGCGAGAAAUAAGAAUUGAAUUAACGAAGGAAAAGCAAAAAAAAAAAAAGAGAAGAAACGUUAAUGAGAGUACGUACGUAUAAAGGUACGCUUCGUUUUAUUUUCUUAUUAUUAUUUUUUUUUCUGUUUGAUUGACACCUAAAUGGAGAUUAAUCGUAAACACUAUUGGAAAGACAAGUUCAGAGGGCGUAUCUUGGUUGGUUUAGUCGAAGACGAACGAUCGAGUGAACGUGUCGGAAGGUUUAUAUAUCGUCUAAUGCGUAAUUAAUAACUGCGACGGUGACGCCGACGAAGUUGAUUUAUCAUUUACGGUGUCUAUCCGAUAUAAGUCCAACGAUCAUAACACCGGGGAGCUGAUCAGAACGGCGGGAGGCCACGUAUAGCCGGUUGACUUCUGAAGUCUCGACUGCAUCGUCGGACACGAGCGUGCACGCGCGCGCGCAUUGUUACCCCGCCAGCGUCCUGUCAAACUUCCACACACGAGGCGCUACGGGGUGCAAAGGUUGCUGAAACGCAUUCAUUCGGGCAUAUUACACCUCAUCAUUAUCUUCGAAGAGCAUGGAAAAGGAGGAGAGGAAGAGAGAAGAAAGUACAAUCUUGACGACGAAUCAAGGAAAACGAAUGCAAGUUCAUCGACAUCUUUCUUAUCUGUGUCGCGUAACAUGCGAGUUUCUUUAAUGUGAUUACUAUACGUCUAAUACAUAUAUAUAUAUGUACACAUAUAUAAACACAAAACACAUAUAUACAUAGGUACGCACCUACGUAUAUUAGUUAACAUUGAUGAUGAGGGAAGUACAAGAGAGAGAGAGGGGAGGUUUAUAGUCGAGAGAGACCAGUCAUCGUAUUUAACGACGAGCGUACACGCAUGCACGUGUAUUAAUCGCCAAGAAUGGCGUUUCGGUGCGUGUAAACAGCUACCGAUAGCAUUAACGAAACUCACGUUGGAAAGCCAGCGUCGUUAUCGCCAUUACGCUCGCAUUAGAUCCAGUACUUACUCUCCCUCUUCGUUACGCACCCUACGCACGUAUGCAAGUAUAGAUAUAUGCUAGCUUGUGUUCUCUCUCUCUCUCUCUCUCUCUCUCUCGUCUCUCUUUUUAGCACAAGAGAUGUUCUCUUUAUCUCAGUCUCUCUCAUUCUAUCGAUCUAAUGAAGUAUCUCGAUGUGUGUGUGUGUGUGUGUGUGGGUGCGUAUGUGCGAGCAUAUAUAGUAGAUAAAUUUACAUAUAUACACGCCAUACAUAGAUACUCGGUGCGUUAUCGCACGAGCCGGUUUAUUUAUUAAAUACUUUUCGUCAUUCUAUUUGAUUUUGUUUUCGAGCGUUGUCCGUCCAACGGACAGACAGACAGACGGAUUAAAUAUCGCUCUAAACUCGAUAUAAAAUGGCUGUGUGUGCCAGUGACAGCUUAAUGAAAGCGUAAUGAAUAUAACGGUAAGGGCAGAAUGAGAGAGAGAUAUAGCAACGAUACUCUCUUCAUAGACAGUAAAUGAUUAUCGCCAAUAACGGAUAUUAAUAGUCUUUAAGCACCAACCGUGAAUACGUACCGGCGAUAAUUUCAUCCGAGUUAGUUAGUAAAUUAAUUAUUACGAUGUCUCUGCCGACUAUUUCUGCUUGUUAUUAAUUCGUUGUAUUCGGCGACACGCGUUGAUAGUAAAAACAAAGAAGAGAACUUUUCCUCGCGUGAGAAAGUUGAUGCGUCUCCUCUUCGAACGACUGACGAUAUAAAUCUAGCUCGGUUUCGAGUCAGAUGACUAGCCGAACGUUCCAAAGUCCUUAUACUUUUUUUUCUUUUCACUCGACAAUAACCACGA
Molecule: long non-coding RNA, 3691 nt
Organism: Vespa mandarinia (Asian giant hornet)
Lineage: Eukaryota; Metazoa; Arthropoda; Insecta; Hymenoptera; Vespidae
Source: RefSeq, a predicted model, not a curated record